UACGUAGGGUGCAGGCGUUAUCCGGAAUUAUUGGGCGUAAAGAGCUCGUAGGCGGUUUGUCGCGUCUGCUGUGAAAACCCGAGGCUCAACCUCGGGCCUGCAGUGGGUACGGGCAGACUAGAGUGCGGUAGGGGAGAUUGGAAUUCCUGGUGUAGCGGUGGAAUGCGCAGAUAUCAGGAGGAACACCGAUGGCGAAGGCAGAUCUCUGGGCCGUAACUGACGCUGAGGAGCGAAAGCGUGGGGAGCGAACAGG
This 253-nucleotide ribosomal RNA is filed under the name uncultured bacterium. Its description in RNAcentral is "partial 16S ribosomal RNA". It matches the Rfam family "Bacterial small subunit ribosomal RNA", at positions 524 to 776 of the family's 1533-position model. The record is from RNAcentral.